Molecule: long non-coding RNA, 208 nt
Filed under: Lathyrus oleraceus (garden pea)
Lineage: Eukaryota; Viridiplantae; Streptophyta; Magnoliopsida; Fabales; Fabaceae
Description: Pisum sativum (pea) long non-coding RNA (PSAT_LNC017346)
Source: RNAcentral
UCGAAUCAAUUCAUUUGUAUUCACUUUUGUUAUUUUCCCUCCAUUUAUGCAAAAAAAUAAAAACAAAAAUAUUAACUCGUCUUCCAUUCACUUAUCUUUUUCAAAUUGUUGUUUUAGCAAAGAUUUGAGAGAGGAUGAUGAAAACUAGAUACCUAAAAUUGUUAUGGUAUGCUUUCAAUUAGAAUCUUGCUGAUGAUGUAAGACAUUG